AUAUAUCUUUUCAAUUCAUCUUCAUUCUCGAGAUUUGCCGCUUUUAAAAGAAAUUCAAGCUUAUUUUGGAGGUAUUGGAAGAAUAACAGAGGGAAAAAAUAGACAAUCUAAUAAUAUAAAUACACAAAAAAAAAUCAAUUUGCCUAGAUAAUCCAAUUAUUAAGUAAUGAAUUAGUAUCUAAUUAGAGACCCGAAGAGUAGUGAUCUUACCAUGGUCAGGCUUAUAAAAGGCCGAAUGGGUUAUCGUUGUAAAGAUAUCCAAAGAACUGUGGUAAGUUAGUGAAAGACAAUCCUGACUACUAUAGCUGGUUUUCCGCGAAACAUAUGUAAGUAUGUAGUUUAAAUAACAUCAUAGCAGGUACAGAACUGUGAUCUCGGACAAUUUGUGCAUUAAUAUCCUAUUAGGGUAUAUAAUGCCUUGUGCAUAUGGGGGGGUCGUGAAGACUCUAUUCGCGAGUAUUUGCUCUCGGAAGGGCAAUGAUGAGUGUUGAACUAUCAGACAUUUAACGAUAAGGUUGUAUGUCAAAAGGGAAACAGCCCAGAACAAGUGUUUAAGGUUCCAAAGUUUUUGUUAAGUGAAAGUAAGGAAGUAUUUAAACUAUACAACCAGGAAAUAGGCUUAGAAGCGGCCAUUUUUUAAAGACCUCGUAACAGAGCACUGGUUCAAACGGUUAAUUAGUUAACCUUAUAAGUUAAAAGCGCCGAAGAUAUAACGGAUCUAAAACAAAACACCGACACCUUGUCCAUAAUAAUAAUAUUAAGUUAAAAGCGCCGAAGAUAUAACGGAUCUAAAACAAAACACCGACACCUUGUCCAUAAUAAUAAUAUUAGGUUAAAUCCUAUUUUAAUAUACUUAAAGGUUAUUUAAGUAUUGUUUAUGGGGUAGCGGAACAUUGGGUAAAUAGGAUUAAAAAUAGGUAAUAAACCCCUUAGAAUCUUUUUUAAUGUAUAAAAACUGGAUGAAUAGAGGGGAAGGAUACACCUAUUUUCAUUAUUACAUCUGUAAUUUGCUCGCUAAAUUGCGGGUUUCCAUAAAUAUCCCAAGUGAGAAUGCUGACACGAGUAACGAAAAAGAGGAUGCCCCUAAAAGGCCCUCUCGCCUUAAGCUUAUGGGAAAGUUAAUCGGUCUCUAAAUUAAACCUAAAGGAUAAAAUGAUGAGGAGAUUAUAUGUGACAACAUAAAGAAAUUGAGUAAAAUGUUCUGGAAAAGCAUAUAGUCUAAGGAUGUAGAUAAAAAUACUAUCCUUUGGGAUGGCCCCUACAAAGGCCAGACCUAAAGGUUAGUCCCCUUCGGGGACUAGUAAAUAAACUAGAGAGAUAUUACUAGGCAUCCUUAAACAUAUAAAACCGUACCUAAAAACUACCACAAGUAAGCUAGUAGAGAAUACGAAGGCGUUUGAGCUAACAAUCAUUAAGGAACUCGGCAAAUUGACACCGUAACUGAGGGAGAAGGUGUGCCAUUCCUACUGAUUAAUAUCAGUUUAGGAAGAGGAGACAUAAAAUGGUGUUGCACGACUGUUUAAUUAAAACACAGCACUUUGCGUAAGAUGUAAAUCAAUGUAUAGAGUGCGCUAUCUGCCCAAUGAUGGCUGGUUAACGGAUUUACUUAGACGACUAAAAUAGGCUAGGUUUUGAAGGAACCCCCAUUUAAUGGCGGCCUUACCUAUGAGGGUCCUAAGGUAGCGAAAUACCUUGGCAUUUAAAUGAUGUCGCGCAUGAAUGAUCUCACGAUGCAACAGCUGUCUCAAUGAUUGGCUCAGUGAAACUGGAAUGGCAGUGAAGAUACUGCCUAUCUCUAGAUAGACGAGAAGACCCCAUGCAGCUUUACUGUUACUAGUUAUAGGGUAUAAUUUAACAGGUUUUAGUGAAUAAGGUAGUUGAACGACAAAAUUGAAACACCUUUACUCUGGUUGUUAUAUCAGUAGAAUAGGUUACAUUAUUGUAACUGACGUCUGAAUGUAAUCCAUAAAAGGAGGGAGAUUAUAUCAAGCUCAGGAGACAAUGGCUAGCAGAUGGUUUAUGCGGGGCACAGAUCCCAUAAAGAGUACCUGGGAGUAUCCAAAUUUAUUUUUGUAAUAUGCUAUACGCAAAUUAUAUAGGGCUUUUAUUAAAUAAUUGCCUUGUAUAUUUUAAUUUUUUAAUUACUAUAUUUAGUUUGUUAUUUUUUAUAUUUACUUUUAUAAAGUAUCUAUAACUAAUUCAGUUAUAUUUCUAUUUAAGUUAGAACUAAAACAAUUUAAUAUAAGUAAGAUUUUACCUAUGUGGAAAAUAGGUGUAUAUAUAGUAUUAAUAAUGAAUAUCUAAUUGUAAAAAAGAUAUAAUUAUAACACUAUUAGUUAUUUUUUUUAGAAUACCUCUAUAAGAAAUGAUGUUGAUAUAUACUUCCAAAGUUUAAUGGCUUAAUCUUGCUUUACUGUUUGACAUACACGUCUAUCAGUUGCGUAAGCAGGGCAUAAAGACCGCAAGACGCAGUAAGGAAAGGUCUUGUAUUAUUGAAAAAGCUACGCUGGGGAUAACAGGCUAAUUGCGCCAGAGAGUACAAAUUGAGUGCGCAGUUUGGCACCUCGAUGUCGGCUUAGCUCAUCCACAUGAAUGCAGGAAUCAUGAAGGGUACGACUGUUCGUCGAUUAAAGAGCUACACGAGCUGGGUUAAAUACGUCGUGAGACAGUAUGGUUUCUAUCUUCUAGAGGAAAUUGGAGUAAAAUAAGGAUAGCCCCUUCGUACGAAAGGAGUUGGGUAUGGUAACCUAUGGUUUACCUGUUGUUUAUGCGCUUAAUAUUAACCUGAUAAAUAACGGCAAGAAUAGGUUCUCCUUAAUAAGUAGAAAAUGGGUAUCUAAAGAAGAAGGAGAGUAAUAUAGAUAGAUUCAUGUGAAUUUAUUACCUAUUUGAGCUAUAGAU
This 2901-nucleotide ribosomal RNA is filed under the name Bipolaris sorokiniana. RNAcentral describes it as "large subunit ribosomal RNA". It matches the Rfam family "Bacterial large subunit ribosomal RNA", at positions 572 to 2925 of the family's 2925-position model. The record is from RNAcentral. Lineage: Eukaryota; Fungi; Ascomycota; Dothideomycetes; Pleosporales; Pleosporaceae.